RNAcentral lists this small RNA (28 nucleotides) under Bombyx mori (domestic silkworm). RNAcentral describes it as "ovarian small RNA-33865". Lineage: Eukaryota; Metazoa; Arthropoda; Insecta; Lepidoptera; Bombycidae. The record is from RNAcentral.
UGCCUGGACAUGUGGCUCCCUGUCUAAU